UACAGAGGUCUCGAGCGUUAGGCGGAAUCACUGGGCUUAAAGCGUGUGUAGGCGGAUCGUUAAGUACCUUGUGAAAUCCCACGGCUUUACCGUGGAACUGCUUGGUAUACUGGCGGUCUUGAGCCAGCUAGGGGCUACCGGAACAAAUGGUGGAGCGGUGAAAUGCGUAGAUAUCAUUUGGAACGCCAAUGGUGAAAACAGGUAGCUGGGGCUGUGCUGACGCUGAGACACGAAAGCCAGGGGAGCAAACGGG
Molecule: ribosomal RNA, 253 nt
Filed under: uncultured bacterium
Lineage: Bacteria
Description: partial 16S ribosomal RNA
Rfam family: Bacterial small subunit ribosomal RNA
Source: RNAcentral